UCUGUAAUCCCAGCACUUUGGGAGGCUGAGGCGGGUGGAUCACAAAGUCAGGAGUUUGAAACCAACCUGACGAAUGUGGUGAAACCCCGUCUCUACGAAAAAUACAAAAAUUAGCUGGGCGCAGUGGCAUGAGCCUGUAGUUCCAGCUACUUGGGAGGCUGAGGCAGGAGAAUUGCUCAUGGUAGAGGUUGCAGUGAGCCGAGAUCACGCCACUGCACUCCAGCCUGGGCGAC
Molecule: long non-coding RNA, 233 nt
Filed under: Homo sapiens (human)
Lineage: Eukaryota; Metazoa; Chordata; Mammalia; Primates; Hominidae
Description: HSALNT0316941
Source: RNAcentral